Molecule: ribosomal RNA, 626 nt
Filed under: Desmoscolecidae sp. 250_8-1000_X
Lineage: Eukaryota; Metazoa; Nematoda; Chromadorea; Desmoscolecida; Desmoscolecidae
Description: eukaryotic LSU rRNA
Rfam family: Eukaryotic large subunit ribosomal RNA
Source: RNAcentral
AGAGGGCGUGAAACCGUUUAGAAGGAAACGAGAGGCGCCGCUAACUGCCAGUAAGAUUCAGCCGGUUCUGUUGCUUUGUGGCAGAGUGGUGCAUUUCUUGCUGGUGAACACCGAAGACUGUGUCGCACGUGAAACUGGUUGGUCGGAGAAAACCACAGAUGUGUUGUUUCCGGCCCUGUGGCUACACUUCGCGGCACAGUUAAUCAACAUUCUGCAGAGUUCGGUGUCGGGUGAGCCUGUUCUGAACACCUCGUGUCGUUUUCUAAACGGCUGAGGUGUUUCGGUGCAAGGCAAGCCAGCUCACUGACCAGGUGUUGUUUCGGUGUGAAAGUCGGCUACCCUCCCGACCCGUCUUGAAACACGGACCAAGGAGUCUAACAUGUGCGCAAGUCAUUGGGCUUGUGAAACCCAGAGGCGCAAUGAAAGUAAAGACCGGCUCGGUCGGUUGACACAUGAUCCGGGUGGCAUGCUGCUCGGCGCAAUGUGGUCCCAUCUUGAAUGCUUGUCAUUGAGGUGGCGAUUGAGCGUACAUGUUGGGACCCGAAAGAUGGUGAACUAUGCCUGAACAGGAUGAAGCCAGAGGAAACUCUGGUGGAAGUCCGAAACGGUUCUGACGUGCAAAUCGA